GACGAACGCUGGCGGCGUGCUUAACACAUGCAAGUCGAACGGAGAGGCCCUGCUUUUGUGGGGUGCUCGAGUGGCGAACGGGUGAGUAACACGUGAGUAACCUGCCCUUGACUUUGGGAUAACUUCAGGAAACUGGGGCUAAUACCGGAUAGGAGCUCCUGCUGCAUGGUGGGGGUUGGAAUGUUUCGGCGGUUGGGGAUGGACUCGCGGCUUAUCAGCUUGUUGGUGGGGUAGUGGCUUACCAAGGCUUUGACGGGUAGCCGGCCUGAGAGGGUGACCGGCCACAUUGGGACUGAGAUACGGCCCAGACUCCUACGGGAGGCAGCAGUGGGGAAUAUUGCACAAUGGGCGGAAGCCUGAUGCAGCAACGCCGCGUGCGGGAUGACGGCCUUCGGGUUGUAAACCGCUUUCGCCUGUGACGAAGCGUGAGUGACGGUAAUGGGUAAAGAAGCACCGGCUAACUACGUG
This 468-nucleotide ribosomal RNA is filed under the name uncultured bacterium. RNAcentral describes it as "partial 16S ribosomal RNA". It matches the Rfam family "Bacterial small subunit ribosomal RNA", at positions 28 to 507 of the family's 1533-position model. The record is from RNAcentral.